AAACCAACCGGGAUUGCCUUAGUAACGGCGAGUGAAGCGGCAAAAGCUCAAAUUUGAAAUCUAGUACCUUCGGUGCUCGAGUUGUAAUUUGUAGAGGGAUACUUUGGGGCCGUUCCUUAUCUAUGUUCCUUGGAACAGGACGUCAUAGAGGGUGAGAAUCCCGUAUGAUGAGGAGUGCGGUUCUAUGUAAAGUGCUCUCGAAGAGUCGAGUUGUUUGGGAAUGCAGCUCUAAGUGGGUGGUAAAUUCCAUCUAAAGCUAAAUAUUGGCGAGAGACCGAUAGCGAACAAGUACAGUGAUGGAAAGAUGAAAAGAACUUUGAAAAGAGAGUGAAAAAGUACGUGAAAUUGUUGAAAGGGAAGGGCAUUUGAUCAGACAUGGUGUUUUGCGCCCUCCGCUCCUUGUGGGUGGGGGACUCUCGCAGCUCACUGGGCCAGCAUCAGUUUUGGCGGCAGGAUAAAUCCUUUGGAAUGUAGCUUGCUUCGGGAAGUGUUAUAGCCAAGGGGAAUACUGCCAGCUGGGAUUGAGGACUGCGACUUUUAGUCAAGGAUGCUGGCAUAAUGGUUAUAUGCCGC
This 573-nucleotide ribosomal RNA is filed under the name Jamesozyma spencerorum. Its description in RNAcentral is "Kazachstania spencerorum partial large subunit ribosomal RNA". It matches the Rfam family "Eukaryotic large subunit ribosomal RNA", at positions 62 to 648 of the family's 3401-position model. The record is from RNAcentral. Lineage: Eukaryota; Fungi; Ascomycota; Saccharomycetes; Saccharomycetales; Saccharomycetaceae.